Molecule: long non-coding RNA, 1390 nt
Filed under: Zonotrichia albicollis (white-throated sparrow)
Lineage: Eukaryota; Metazoa; Chordata; Aves; Passeriformes; Passerellidae
Description: lncRNA (ENSZALG00000000727.1)
Source: RNAcentral
GGUUAACUUGCUUCAGCUGAAUAGGACAAAAUGGAAAGAGACUUCAGGACAACUAUACCUCAAAACACACUGGACUCCUUGAAGGAGGAGGAGGCAGCUUCAUGCAAGGGGGAAGAAGCCACCUGAGAGCAGCUCUGCAAAUGCACAGACCUCAGAAAAAGACCUCCAAAUGGAAAACCACAGUGCUGCAGAGCAGCCUCCUGUCAGCCAGAAAUGCUGAUUACCAAGGAAAGAAAUUAGAACAGGAUUUGGCCCAAAAAGUUCCUGCAGAGCUGGAGAGAGACUGAGGAGCACAGAACAAACUGCCCUAGCUUCCCUGCACCAUCCUGGUUGCCUCAAUAAUUGCUAAAAUCUCCAUCAUGGUUUGUCCUCCUCCACCAUGGUGUUCCUUUCUCACCUGAAGUGCCACUUGCCUAAACCAUGGUGCCACAUGGGGUGCUUGUGAAGCAGCCCCAUGAUUUACCUUUACCUUGCCUACUUGUUUUUAAAUUGUCAGAGUAUCCUCUCAAGUUGUCGGUAAAAGGGUGAAAUGACUGGUUUUGCACAGGAAAUAGAUUUUACUUCUUUAAUAAGAAUUUUUACAUUAUUUCAUCUUUGGCAAACCAUGUGACAUUAGAUUAAGAUCUCAGCCUGAAGAACAGGCCUGAGAUCUGGCCACAUUUAAGUUUUUGAUAGAACUUGAUCAUCAAUUAAAUCCAAAGGCAAAAAAUAUAGCCUAAAAUGGACGCUCUUUUUAAAGUAAAAGAGUACAGCAGGCAAGAAAUAAUUUUUAUGAAAACUGAACUUCUGGGAGACCUUUUUUACUCUGAUCUGCUCUCUUGACCUCAGAGGUGAUGUCAGCAGCUUGGCCACUGAGCUGUCACAGCUGAAGUUGACUUCACUGGUGCUCGCUGCCAACAGACACAGUGGGAACUCUGCUCUCCUCACUGGUGCUCACUCCCCACAGACACAGCGGGAGCUCUGCUCUCCUCACUGGUGCUCGCUGCCCACAGACACAGCGGGAACUCUGCUCUCCUCACUGGUGCUCACUCCCCACAGACACAGCGGGAACUCUGCUCUCCUUGCAUGGUGCCUCACGCCGCAUCCGAACGCUCCCUCUGCUCCCAGCACAGCCCUACACGGCCAAGGCAGCAGCAAUCUUGCUCCUAGUCAGCAGAGAAGCUCUACCAUGGAAUCACUCAUGGAAGAAGAGGGUUCUGCAGCCAGGAUGCCUGUUUUGAGCACACCAGUCUCUUUCCCUGCUCUUUGGUUACCAGUUGAUCUUCACACAUCCACAGGAAGGUCUGAGGCUGCCUGUUGGCUUCUCUCAGAGGAAUGUCCUGAAUGGAGCUUGCUGUCAACACAGCUUUCAAGACAAAGAAGAAAAAAAGAAAAAAGAAGAAGCAUAUGA